CCCUUAGAUGUUCUGGGCCGCACGCGCGCUACACUGAUGCAUUCAACAAGCCUAGCCUUGACCGAGAGGUCCGGGUAAUCUUUGAAACUGCAUCGUGAUGGGGCUAGAUUAUUGCAAUUAUUAAUCUUCAACGAGGAAUGCCUAGUAAGCGUGAUUCAUCAAAUCGCGUUGAUUACGUCCCUGCCCUUUGUACACACCGCCCGUCGCUCCUACCGAUUGAAUGUGUUGGUGAGGAGCUCGGAUUGGCAGCAGUUGGCGGUUCGCCACCGGCUAUUGCUGAGAAGUCCUCCAAACCGCCCCAUUUAGAGGAAGGAGAAGUCGUAACA
RNAcentral lists this ribosomal RNA (326 nucleotides) under uncultured eukaryote. RNAcentral's name for it is "partial 18S ribosomal RNA". It matches the Rfam family "Eukaryotic small subunit ribosomal RNA", at positions 1470 to 1796 of the family's 1831-position model. The record is from RNAcentral.